Molecule: long non-coding RNA, 607 nt
Filed under: Felis catus (domestic cat)
Lineage: Eukaryota; Metazoa; Chordata; Mammalia; Carnivora; Felidae
Description: lncRNA (ENSFCAG00000048729.1)
Source: RNAcentral
AUCUAAAACUGUCAUGCCCAAAGCAGAAGUUCAUGAAACAUAUACUGAUGAGUCAUUUCUCCCUGCCCCUGCACUCCAAGCACGUUCAUAGAGUCAAGGACAAAGCUGAUGCCUGCCAACCAGACAAGCUAAGUAAAUGAACGAGCACAUCAAGUCUAUUCGUGUGGCUUCUAGAGGCCUCCAAGGCCAGGAAAAGGGGAAAAAACCUACCGUGCUUAAUUUGAAGAAUCGAAUAACCCAUCAACGUUUUCCAAACCACAACCAUGCGGCAGAGGAAAAAAUCACAGAGCCACCGUGCAAUUGAUGCGGGCCAAAAAAACCCUAGAAACUAGAAAAAGCUCUUGAUAAAAACAAAACCUGUGAAGACACGACAAAGGAGCUGAAAUUGAUGGCAAUUUCCUAAGGCAAUUUUUGCUUUUCAAACAUAUUCAAGUUUCCUGAGGGCAGAGAUCGCUCCUCGUGAACGAAAUCGUUUUCUCUUUCAGACGUCAGUGCAUAGGAAGUGGUUUUGUGUGGAAAGGAAAGCGAUUGAAUUUAGAUAAAUGCCAGUCCCAGAGCAGAUGUUCGCUACUUGGACAAAGAAAUAAAGCACAGGGAGAAAAAGUCA